RNAcentral lists this ribosomal RNA (644 nucleotides) under Trichoderma harzianum. RNAcentral's name for it is "eukaryotic LSU rRNA". The stretch from base 256 to 409 matches the Rfam family "5.8S ribosomal RNA". Lineage: Eukaryota; Fungi; Ascomycota; Sordariomycetes; Hypocreales; Hypocreaceae. The record is from RNAcentral.
GGGAAGUAAAAGUCGUAACAAGGUCUCCGUUGGUGAACCAGCGGAGGGAUCAUUACCGAGUUUACAACUCCCAAACCCAAUGUGAACGUUACCAAACUGUUGCCUCGGCGGGAUCUCUGCCCCGGGUGCGUCGCAGCCCCGGACCAAGGCGCCCGCCGGAGGACCAACCAAAACUCUUUUUGUAUACCCCCUCGCGGGUUUUUUAUAAUCUGAGCCUUCUCGGCGCCUCUCGUAGGCGUCUCGAAAAUGAAUCAAAACUUUCAACAACGGAUCUCUUGGUUCUGGCAUCGAUGAAGAACGCAGCGAAAUGCGAUAAGUAAUGUGAAUUGCAGAAUUCAGUGAAUCAUCGAAUCUUUGAACGCACAUUGCGCCCGCCAGUAUUCUGGCGGGCAUGCCUGUCCGAGCGUCAUUUCAACCCUCGAACCCCUCCGGGGGGUCGGCGUUGGGGAUCGGCCCUGCCUCUUGGCGGUGGCCGUCUCCGAAAUACAGUGGCGGUCUCGCCGCAGCCUCUCCUGCGCAGUAGUUUGCACACUCGCAUCGGGAGCGCGGCGCGUCCACAGCCGUUAAACACCCAACUUCUGAAAUGUUGACCUCGGAUCAGGUAGGAAUACCCGCUGAACUUAAGCAUAUCAAUAAGCGGAGGA